Molecule: non-coding RNA, 46 nt
Organism: Chelonia mydas (Green sea turtle)
Lineage: Eukaryota; Metazoa; Chordata; Testudines; Cheloniidae
Source: Rfam
ACAAAGGCUCUUUUAAGAGCCACCCAUAUUUUCACAAUAAGAGUUG